CCUUGCUAUUGCGUUAGGACUGGACUUGUGCAGGAUAGCUGGGAGGCAGAGAAGCUGGCGCGCCAGCGUCGGUGGAGCCGCUGUUGAGAUAACAGCCUGGUGCAGUCGUGGCCCUAACCGGUGAACAAGCAGCGGGACAGUGGCAGGGGGGUAGUUUGACUGGGGCGGUCGCCUCCUAAAAGGUAACGGAGGCUUCCAAAGGUACCCUCAGCACGCUUGGUAACCGUGCGUAGAGUGCAAAGGCAUAAGGGUGCUUAACUGCGAGACAUACACGUCGAGCAGGUACGAGAGUAGGGCUUAGUGAUCCAGCGGUUCCGUAUGGAAGGACCGUUGCUCAUCGGACAAAAGGUACGCCGGGGAUAACAGGCUGAUCUCCCCCAAGAGUUCACAUCGACGGGGAGGUUUGGCACCUCGAUGUCGGCUCAUCGCAUCCUGGGGCUGGAGAAGGUCCCAAGGGUUUGGCUGUUCGCCAAUUAAAGCGGUACGUGAGCUGGGUUUAGAACGUCGUGAGACAGUUCGGUCCCUAUCUGAUACGGGCGUAGGAGAUUUGAGGAGAGUCGUCCCUAGUACGAGAGGACCAGGAUGAACCGGCCGCCAGUGCACCUGUUGUGACGCCAGUUGCAUCGCAGGGUAGCUGCGCCGGGAAGGGAUAAGCGCUGAAAGCAUCUAAGCGCCAAGCCCACUCCAAGAUGAGAUCUCCCGAACUUCGGUUCCUGAAGACCCCUGGAAGAUGACCAGGUUGAUAGGUCACUGGUGUACGCGCAGCGAUGCGUUGAGCCUAGUGAUACUAAUCGGUCGUGCGACUUAACCGU
RNAcentral lists this ribosomal RNA (812 nucleotides) under Candidatus Zixiibacteriota bacterium. RNAcentral's name for it is "partial 23S ribosomal RNA". It matches the Rfam family "Bacterial large subunit ribosomal RNA", at positions 2109 to 2925 of the family's 2925-position model. Lineage: Bacteria; Pseudomonadati; Candidatus Zixiibacteriota. The record is from RNAcentral.